Phrynosoma platyrhinos (Desert horned lizard) is the source of this 72-nucleotide non-coding RNA. The record is from the annotation of a GenBank genome assembly. Lineage: Eukaryota; Metazoa; Chordata; Lepidosauria; Squamata; Phrynosomatidae.
ACCAGAAUGGCCUAGUGAUUUAAGCGCUGGACUAGUGCUCUGGAGACCAGGGUUCAAAUCCCUGCUCAGCCA